This 21-nucleotide non-coding RNA is filed under the name Caenorhabditis elegans. The record is from RNAcentral. Lineage: Eukaryota; Metazoa; Nematoda; Chromadorea; Rhabditida; Rhabditidae.
UCAAUAUGUCCAUAAAAUUCA